UUCUUUAACACAUAAUGCACAACAAUCAUGAGCGAACACAAAGUUCCAAGUACGCUCAAUGAUGCAGGUUUAAGUUCUUUGGCUUUGCGGUAAAAGUAAAGACAUGCGGUGUGUGCAGUUUUAGUUGGUGUCCACUUGACUGAUUUGUCACUCACUUUCUGACCCAGGUCUGUUCUCUCUUCCUUUUUGCUGAUCUCAGAGACGCAGCCCGAUGAAGAGAAAUUUGUCAUGUGAAGAGAUUGCCAGACCAAGACACUCCACACCUACUUCAAAUCCUGUUCCUGACACAUCAAG
Cynoglossus semilaevis (tongue sole) is the source of this 294-nucleotide long non-coding RNA. RefSeq lists it as uncharacterized. Lineage: Eukaryota; Metazoa; Chordata; Actinopteri; Pleuronectiformes; Cynoglossidae. The record is from RefSeq and is a predicted model, not a curated record. The transcript is spliced from 3 exons.